Molecule: long non-coding RNA, 1679 nt
Filed under: Homo sapiens (human)
Lineage: Eukaryota; Metazoa; Chordata; Mammalia; Primates; Hominidae
Description: HSALNT0089557
Source: RNAcentral
GUUUGUUUGUUUUUCAUCCAUCCUGAUUCCUAGGUAAUGCCUCCAAAGGGCUUUAAAAGUAUAAGGGCUAGAGUCAUGAUUCAUUAUCCUGAAGAAGGGCCCAGUGUGGGCUUGUAAAGGCAUUCUUGUCCAAAGCACUUUAGCUCUCUACAUAUAUGUGUCUUGUGCCUCAGUGUCCUAAUUUCCAGCUGUUCAUUAGAAUUAGCCAGGGAGAUUUCAAAAUAACCAUGUCCAGGUCCUAUCCAGAUCAAUUAAAUCAACAGCUCUGGUGGUAAAGCCCACACAUGGAUUUUUUUUAAGCUGCCAUGAUUCUAAUAUGCAGCUGGGGUUGAGAGAAAUUGCUUUAAAUGCUAUAGAAAGGCCAUGGAGAGGCCAGUGGCCAGGCUAGAGCUCUAAGAAGACAAGUCUGGCUGUGGUUCCAGCUGUGAGGCUGAAGCCAUCAGUGUGCAUGUGAUUGCCUAGGGAAAGGGUAGAGUCAGAGAGAGCUGAGGACUGAACCUUAGGAAAGCCCAAUACUAGUGAGGCAAGAAGAAGUGGGAGGGAUUCUGAAAGAGACUGAAGUGGACGAACUUGAGAUGCCAGAGAAAAGCCUGGGCUGCUCUCCUGGCAGCCAAGAGAGAAGCCAUGGUGGUCAGAGAGGUCAACAGUGCUAAUGCCACCAAGAGGCUGAUUUAAGAUUACGACUGAAAAGUCUUCAUUGGACUUGACGUCCAGGAAGUCUUGGGUGGCCUUAGAGGAGCAUGGUGGGGCCAGGGAAGCUGAAAUGCAGUGGGUUGAGAAGUAAAUGGAGGUGAGCCAAGAGAGACAAUGAAACUCCUUUCAGCAAGCCAAGGAUGCAGUUAUAACUGGGCCGGAUCAUCUCCCCUGAGACAGUACAGACAUCUACCAGCACUAUAUACCAGAGAGAAGCCAUGUCCAAACUCUGAGCCAGAAUAUGCAGCCUAUUUAAAACCUGCUUGAUUAUUCUCAGAAACAGUGGCUAACUCGAGGGUAAAAUAGGCCACUGCAGCCAGGUGGCAAACUGAGCAAUACCAGCCACGACUCGUGGCCACAAAAAUCAGUGUCGAAGCUGCCAAGCCUUCGAGGCCUGACUUUGUUGCCUAACAGGAAACCCAUGGAGCAAAACAACCUAUACUCCUCCCCCAGAAUGGUUGACCACUAUAAGGAAACUCAGAGAGCCUACAAUGAGAGAAAACCCACAAAAACACCAAAAAAGAAACAGAAGAACCCUAUGUGAACAGCCCAACGCUGUCAACUAUGACCAACAACCUUGACACUACGAGGGGACUUUGCUGUCUUAUCUCUGCUAGCCUUCUUCAGGGCAGAAACCAGCUCUGCAGCAGGACAGGAGGGGGACAGAGCCAGUGCAUGGUGUUGUGUCUUUCUCCCCUCCUCCUCUCUUCAAGGGGCUGCCCACUCCUCCUCUCCCAAUCUGACCCUGUCAAGAUCCACUUGCACCAGAGGAGCUACCGAGCUAGGUAGGACCCAGCAGGCCACCGGGCCCAGGCUUCAGCAACUGACCUAUGGGGAUAACCUGGAUAAACUUCAAAACUUUGUCUCCUCCUUGGUUGCCACUUGGCUUACAUCAAAAAGACAAGGACGCAUCAGAAUAGCUAUUCCCCCUGGGCUGGGGGUGACAGGAAGGGGACACAAAGGGGUACUCUCUUUCUUGAUCUGGG